This 253-nucleotide ribosomal RNA is filed under the name uncultured bacterium. RNAcentral's name for it is "partial 16S ribosomal RNA". It matches the Rfam family "Bacterial small subunit ribosomal RNA", at positions 524 to 776 of the family's 1533-position model. The record is from RNAcentral.
UACAGAGGUCUCAAGCUUUGUUCGGAUUCAUUGGGCGUAAAGGGUGCGUAGGCGGCGCGGUAAGUCGGGUGUGAAAUCUCGGAGCUUAACUCCGAAACUGCAUUCGAUACUACCGUGCUUGAGGACUGGAGAGGAGACUGGAAUUUACGGUGUAGCGGUGAAAUGCGUAGAUAUCGUAAGGAAGACCAGUGGCGAAGGCGGGUCUCUGGACAGUUCCUGACGCUGAGGCACGAAGGCCAGGGGAGCAAACGGG